UUGAAAAAGUUAAUAGAAGAAAGAUUUAUAUUAGGAUUUUGGUAAUGUGUAUUAAAGCGAUGUGCGAUGAAUACUGAAUUAAACAGAAAGCAGAUGUACACAUCACCGAAUCAGAUGCAUGGAAGUAGUAGAAAAGUACAAUGAAUUUAUUGUAACCCUCUGAAUAACACUAUCUAGGAUUUACUUAGCUCUGGUGACUGUAAACUGUUGUGGUCACAGAGAUGUUUGUAUUGUAGGGAUUUACUGAGUGACUAUAAACUCAUACAUGCCAACUUUCCCGAUUUAGGCGGGAUCUUCCCGAUUUUACCCUCCGGUCCCGCUUUCCCGAUUGGGAAAGCAAAAUUACCCUAAAAUCCCGAUUUGAAAUUUUUUCCGACCAAAAUUUCCGAUUUCACGAUUGAAAAUGAGUUUGAAAGCGGGAUAAUCGUGAAAUCUCGUGACCAGAAUUGGAAAUCCCGCGUCAUUUCUGAACUGGCCAAUCAGAAAUCGGGACAAUAGUCAGCCAUUGCUGUUUACCUGUGUCGCAUGGUGUCGGGUUGGUCUGCCUGUGUCGGGGUGUUUAUUGGACAGUGCGAAGCAUGUUUUGAUAGUAAUUAAUCGGGAAGACGGAUUUCAAAUUGACCUAUCCUUUACACAAACGUGAAUGACAACGAUGCUAGUGUCACCACCAAACAAUCGGACAUUCCGCCUCUCGCUGACAGCAUCCAAAAUUUGCAAUAAGAUGUCAUGGGUGCAAAGGUUUUGUUCGCAAACUUCAUAGCAGGGCAGAUCACUCCUUUUUUGGUUGCAAUGCAGAUUAUUCCACCAGUCUCUGCAAGCCCAUGUUUACAGACAAGCAAGAUCGCCUUUGCAGUCGUACCUAAAUGCAUGUGCUUUGAUUUAAAUUUUGAUAUAUAGACCGGCCAAUGUUUAUUGUAUGGUGUAAAAGGAUGCAACCUUAAAUAUUAUUUGAUAUUAUGUAUGUGACUUGUUGGAGAAGAUUUUUUGCUGAAUAGAUGAUUUUAAUAAAAUAUUAAUGU
Molecule: long non-coding RNA, 1019 nt
Organism: Ostrea edulis (European flat oyster)
Lineage: Eukaryota; Metazoa; Mollusca; Bivalvia; Ostreida; Ostreidae
Exons: 2
Source: RefSeq, a predicted model, not a curated record